CGCGGUAAUUCCAGCUCCAAUAGCGUAUACUAAAGUGUUGCAGUUAAAAGGCCGGUAGUUGAAUUUCUGGCGGGGACGGCUGGUCGGUCUCGAAAGGGGCUGUACUGUUGUUGGUUCCCGUCAUCCUUGGGGAGAGCGGCUCUUACAUUAAGUUGUCGGCGUCGGGAUCCCUAUCUUUUACUGUGAAAAAAUUAGAGUGUUCAAAGCAGGCUUAGGCCCUGAAUACAUUAGCAUGGAAUAAUAAGAUACGACCUUGGUGGUCUAUUUUGUUGGUUUGCACGCCAAGGUAAUGAUUAAUAGGGAUAGUUGGGGGUAUUCGUAUUCAAUUGUCAGAGGUGAAAUUCUUGGAUUUAUGGAAGACGAACUACUGCGAAAGCAUUUACCAAGGAUGUUUUCAUUAAUCAAGAACGAAAGUUAGGGGAUCGAAGAUGAUUAGAUACCAUCGUAGUCUUAACCAUAAACUAUGCCGACUAGGGAUCGGUGGGUGCAUUUUUAGGCCUCAUCGGCACCUUAUGAGAAAUCAAAGUCUUUGGGUUCCGGGGGGAGUAUGGUCGCAAGGCUGAAACUUAAAGAAAUUGACGG
RNAcentral lists this ribosomal RNA (582 nucleotides) under uncultured Eustigmatophyceae. Its description in RNAcentral is "SSU rRNA". It matches the Rfam family "Eukaryotic small subunit ribosomal RNA", at positions 575 to 1159 of the family's 1831-position model. Lineage: Eukaryota; Eustigmatophyceae. The record is from RNAcentral.